AGAGUUUGAUCCUGGCUCAGGACGAACGCUGGCGGCGUGCCUAAUACAUGCAAGUCGAACGCACUGACAGAGAAACUUGUUUCUCUCGACGUGAGUGGCGCACGGGUGAGUAACACGUGGGAAACCUACCCUUCAGCGGGGGAUAACCGUCGGAAACGAUGGCUAAUACCGCAUAGGUCUUUUAACCGCCUGGUUGAAAGAGGAAAGACGGCUUCGGCUGUCACUGAAGGAUGGUCCCGCGGUGCAUUAGCUAGUUGGUAAGGUAACGGCUUACCAAGGCGAUGAUGCAUAGCCGACCUGAGAGGGUGAUCGGCCACAUUGGGACUGAGACACGGCCCAAACUCCUACGGGAGGCAGCAGUAGGGAAUCUUCCGCAAUGGACGCAAGUCUGACGGAGCAACGCCGCGUGUGUGAAGAAGGUCUUCGGAUCGUAAAGCACUGUUAUUAGAGAAGAACAACCGGUAGAGUAACUGUUACCGGCUUGACGGUAUCUAACCAGAAAGCCACGGCUAACUACGUGCCAGCAGCCGCGGUAAUACGUAGGUGGCAAGCGUUGUCCGGAUUUAUUGGGCGUAAAGGGAGCGCAGGCGGGGACUAAAGUCUGAUGUGAACGCCCCACCGCUCAACCGUGGAAGGUCAAUAGGAAACUGGGUCACUUGAGUGCAGAAGAGGAAAGUGGAAUUCCAUGUGUAGCGGUGAAAUGCGUAAAUAUAAUGGAGGAAACCCCAGUGGGCCAAAGGCCACUUUUCUGGUCUGUAACUGAACCCUAAGGCCUCGAAAAGCGGGGGGAACCAA
RNAcentral lists this ribosomal RNA (795 nucleotides) under uncultured bacterium. RNAcentral's name for it is "bacterial SSU rRNA". It matches the Rfam family "Bacterial small subunit ribosomal RNA", at positions 8 to 772 of the family's 1533-position model. The record is from RNAcentral.